GUAGCUUGCUACUUGCUGACGACCGGCGCACGGGUGCGUAACGCGUAUAGAAUCUACCUUAUACUGGGGGAUAGCCUUUGGAAACGAAGAUUAAUACCCCAUAGUAUGUUUGAAUGGCAUCAUUUGGACAUUAAAGUUUCGGCGGUAUAAGAUGACUAUGCGUUCUAUUAGUUUGUUGGUAAGGUAACGGCUUACCAAGACUACSAUAGAUAGGGGUCCUGAGAGGGAGAUCCCCCACACUGGUACUGAGACACGGACCAGACUCCUACGGGAGGCAGCAGUGAGGAAUAUUGGACAAUGGAGGCAACUCUGAUCCAGCCAUGCCGCGUGUAGGAAGACUGCCCUAUGGGUUGUAAACUACUUUUAUAUGGGAAGAAUAAGGUCUACGUGUAGACUGAUGACGGUACCAUAAGAAUAAGCACCGGCUAACUCCGUGCCAGCAGCCGCGGUAAUACGGAGGGUGCAAGCGUUAUCCGGAAUCAUUGGGUUUAAAGGGUCCGUAGGCGGGCAUAUAAGUCAGUGGUGAAAGUCUGUGGCUCAACCAUAGAAUUGCCAUUGAUACUGUAUGUCUUGAAUUAUUGUGAAGUGGUUAGAAUAUGUAGUGUAGCGGUGAAAUGCUUAGAGAUUACAUAGAAUACCGAUUGCGAAGGCAGAUCACUAACAAUAUAUUGACGCUGAUGGACGAAAGCGUAGGUAGCGAACAGGAUUAGAUACCCUGGUAGUCUACGCCGUAAACGAUGGAUACUAGUUGUUUGGCCUUCGGGCUGAGUGACUAAGCGAAAGUGAUAAGUAUCCCACCUGGGGAGUACGUUC
Molecule: ribosomal RNA, 813 nt
Filed under: Dokdonia sp. SRO_18
Lineage: Bacteria; Pseudomonadati; Bacteroidota; Flavobacteriia; Flavobacteriales; Flavobacteriaceae
Description: bacterial SSU rRNA
Rfam family: Bacterial small subunit ribosomal RNA
Source: RNAcentral